This 427-nucleotide ribosomal RNA is filed under the name uncultured prokaryote. Its description in RNAcentral is "bacterial SSU rRNA". It matches the Rfam family "Bacterial small subunit ribosomal RNA", at positions 355 to 774 of the family's 1533-position model. The record is from RNAcentral.
UGGGGAAUAUUGGACAAUGGGGGCAACCCUGAUCCAGCAAUGCCGCGUGUGUGAAGAAGGCCUGAGGGUUGUAAAGCACUUUCAGUGGGGAGGAGGAUUGUUUGUUUAAGAGAUGAAUGAUUGGACGUUACCCACAGAAGAAGCACCGGCUAACUCCGUGCCAGCAGCCGCGGUAAUACGGAGGGUGCAAGCGUUAAUCGGAAUUACUGGGCGUAAAGAGUGCGUAGGUGGUUGAGUAAGUUAUCUGUGAAAUCCCUGGGCUUAACCUGGGCAGGUCAGAUAAUACUGCUUGACUCGAGUAUGGGAGAGGGUAGUGGAAUUUCCGGUGUAGCGGUGAAAUGCGUAGAGAUCGGAAGGAACACCAGUGGCGAAGGCGGCUACCUGGCCUAAUACUGACACUGAGGCACGAAAGCGUGGGGAGCAAACA